AGCCGGGCUGUUGCUGGGUCAGGCCAAAGGGGACCCACCCUGUCUUCACAGCGGCCAAGCAGAUGACCCAGGUGGAAGCUCACAAGCGGGGCAGCCCUUCCUCCCACAGGAGCCAGGGCAGAAGCGAUAAAACAAUUAAACCAUCGGAAAACAUGAUCAUUUGGAGAUAUAAAGAGUGAGACAAUCUUUUAGAUUCCAAAGAACAGCCAUGGAUUCUGCAGCAGUGAAGACAUCUCUGUCAGAGUCUGGGAAUUCCAUUAAUAUUGUGAGAGAGUCCAUUUGAAGCUUGUUUGCUGAAUUACCUUUGGAAUCUCACCUUCCCUGAAACAAAUUAAAGGUGAUCCUGCAUUGCAUGGCAUCGGAAACCUGUGAUAUCAUCACACAUGCCAGUGAACAAUUUGUAUUCACCAGUCAUCUUUCAAGUUCAUCACUGAUACAGGGGACUUUGAUUCCAACACACAGCCAAAGAUUUCCACAGCAGGCAUUUAAUGCUGGAGAAAGAUUGGUUGAAGAUAGAGCUCUUCAUCCUACACCAGAUGACAGAAUUGUACAAAUGUAGGGAUGUUUCCAUGCUCCUAUACCUUCUUUUGGGGAACAAUCUGAAGCCAGCAUUGGAGCAAACGUUACUCAGAAUCCUCACGACUAUACCUAUGACAACAGCAGAAGCAGAAGAGGAUGAAGCUCUGAAGAGGAUGAAGACAUUCCCAAGGAACGCUGUUUCAGAUGACAGCCUUGGUAAUGCUGUCAGUUGAGAAAUGAUUGAGCAAACCUUGUAUACAAUAUGACAUUAUGAGAAAUCUUCUGAAGAACUGGAGGAUAGGGGUGGCUGUAAGGGGUGAUGGAGGCCACAAACCAAUAAAUAAAUAGCCAAGUGCGACAGCAUGGAAACCUUCUGAACCAAUGCUCCAAAUAAUGGAAAACUUGGAGGAAAGGGGUGGCUGUAAGGGGAGGUGGAGGCCACACACAGUUUCUCCCAGCAGAGAAGCAGCUGUGACAGCAGGGACCCCUUCUGAACCAAGGCAAGACUCUUUAAGUAACCUUGAAAAGAAAUGCUAAACAAUUGUACUAUUGCACUACUUAAGUGUGUACUGUUUCUUGAGAAGGGAGAAGGAGGAUAGAGAGAGAACCAGAAGCGGUAGAAGCCGCACACACUUUCUCCUCAAAUAUCUCCUCAAAAAAUGUUAAUAAAAAUAACCAGGAUUAAAUUAACAUUAAAAGGAAAUAAAUGUAUUGAUAAAUA
Long non-coding RNA from Rhineura floridana, 1240 nucleotides. RefSeq lists it as uncharacterized. Lineage: Eukaryota; Metazoa; Chordata; Lepidosauria; Squamata; Rhineuridae. The record is from RefSeq and is a predicted model, not a curated record. The transcript has 2 exons.